CCUACGGGAGGCAGCAGUGGGGAAUAUUGCACAAUGGGGGAAACCCUGAUGCAGCGACGCAGCGUGCGGGAUGACGGCCUUCGGGUUGUAAACCGCUUUCAGCAGGGACGAAGCUUUUUGUGACGGUACCUGCAGAAGAAGCACCGGCUAACUACGUGCCAGCAGCCGCGGUAAU
RNAcentral lists this ribosomal RNA (175 nucleotides) under uncultured bacterium. Its description in RNAcentral is "partial 16S ribosomal RNA". It matches the Rfam family "Bacterial small subunit ribosomal RNA", at positions 338 to 524 of the family's 1533-position model. The record is from RNAcentral.